Oncorhynchus tshawytscha (Chinook salmon) is the source of this 1239-nucleotide long non-coding RNA. Lineage: Eukaryota; Metazoa; Chordata; Actinopteri; Salmoniformes; Salmonidae. The record is from Ensembl.
GGAGGCUAUAUACAGGGGGUACCGGUACAGAGUCAAUGUGGAGGCUAUAUACAGGGGGUACCGGUACAGAGUCAAUGUGGAGGCUAUAUACAGGGGGUAACGGUACAGAGUCAAUGUGGAGGCUAUAUACAGGGGGUACCGGUACAGAGUCAAUGUGGAGGCUAUAUACAGGGGGUACCGGUACAGAGUCAAUGUGGAGGCUAUAUACAGGGGGUGCCGGUACAGAGUCAAUGUGGAGGCUAUAUACAGGGGGUACUGGUACAGAGUCAAUGUGGAGGCUAUAUACAGGGGGUACCGGUACAGAGUCAAUGUGGAGGCUAUAUACAGGGGGUACCGGUACAGAGUCAAUGUGGAGGCUAUAUACAGGGGGGUACCGGUACAGAGUCAAUGUGGAGGCUAUAUACAGGGGGUACCGGUACAGAGUCAAUGUGGAGGCUAUAUACAGGGUAUUACGGUACAGAGUCAAUGUGGAGGCUAUAUACAGGGGGUACCGGUACAGAGUCAAUGUGGAGGCUAUAUACAGGGUAUUACGGUACAGAGUCAAUGUGGAGGCUAUAUACAGGGGUACCAGUACAGAGUCAAUGUGGAGGCUAUAUACAGGGGGUACCAGUACAGAGUCAAUGUGGAGGCUAUAUACAGGGGGUACCGGUACAGAGUCAAUGUGGAGGCUAUAUACAGGGGGUACCAGUACAGAGACAAUGUGGAGGCUAUAUACAGGGGGUACCGGUACAGAGACAAUGUGGAGGCUAUAUACAGGGGGUACCGGUACAGAGACAAUGUGGAGGCUAUAUACAGGGGGUACAGGUACAGAGACAAUGUGGAGGCUAUAUACAGGGGGUACCGGUACAGAGUCAAUGUGGAGGCUAUAUACAGGGGGUACUGGUACAGAGUCACUGUGGAGGCUAUAUACAGGGGGUACCGGUACAGAGUCAAUGUGUCGAGGUAAUUGAGAUAAUUAUGUACAUGUAGGUAGAGUUAUUAAAGUGACUAUGCAUAGAUAAUAACAGAGUAGCAGCAGCAUAGAAGGGGGGGGGGGCAAUGCAAAUAGUCUGGGUAGCCAUUUGAUUAGAUGUUCAGGAUUCUUAUGGCUUGGGUGUAGAAGCAGUUUAGAAGCCUCUUGGACCUAGACUUGGCCCUCCGGUGAUGUACUUGGCCGUACACACUACCCUCUGUAGUGCCUUGCGUUCUGAGACAAUUGCCAUACCAGGCAGUGAUGCAACCCGUCAGGAUGCUCUCGAU